RNAcentral lists this ribosomal RNA (464 nucleotides) under uncultured bacterium. Its description in RNAcentral is "partial 16S ribosomal RNA". It matches the Rfam family "Bacterial small subunit ribosomal RNA", at positions 28 to 507 of the family's 1533-position model. The record is from RNAcentral.
GACGAACGCUGGCGGCGUGCUUAACACAUGCAAGUCGAACGGAAAGGCCCUGCUUGCAGGGUACUCGAGUGGCGAACGGGUGAGUAACACGUGGGUGAUCUGCCCUGCACUUCGGGAUAAGCCUGGGAAACUGGGUCUAAUACCGGAUAGGAGCCAUUUUUAGUGUGAUGGUUGGAAAGUUUUUUCGGUGUAGGAUGAGCUCGCGGCCUAUGAGCUUGUUGGUGGGGUAAUGGCCUACCAAGGCGGCGACGGGUAGCCGGCCUGAGAGGGUGGACGGCCACAUUGGGACUGAGAUACGGCCCAGACUCCUACGGGAGGCAGAAGUGGGGAAUAUUGCACAAUGGGGGCAAGCCUGAUGCAGCGACGCCGCGUGGGGGAUGACGGCCUUCGGGUUGUAAACUCCUUUCGCUAGGGACGAAGCUUUUGUGACGGUACCUAGAUAAGAAGCACCGGCUAACUACGUG